CCUACGAGCGGCAGCAGUGAGGAAUAUUGGUCAAUGGGCGGGAGCCUGAACCAGCCAAGUCGCGUGAGGGAAGACGGUCCUAUGGAUUGUAAACCUCUUUAGGCGGGGAGCAAUGCCGGGCACGCGUGCCCGGAGGGAGAGUACCCGCAGAAUAAGCAUCGGCUAACUCCGUGCCAGCCGCCGCGGUAAUACGGAGGAUGCGAGCGUUAUCAGGAUUUAUUGGGUUUAAAGGGUGCGUAGGCGGAUUUUUAAGUCAGCGGUAAAAUGUCCGGGCUCAACCCGGGCCGGCCGUUGAAACUGGGGAUCUUGAGUGGGCGAGAAGUAUGCGGAAUGCGUGGUGUAGCGGUGAAAUGCAUAGAGAUCACGCAGAACUCCGAUUGCGAAGGCAGCAUACCGGCGCCCGACUGACGCUGAGGCACGAAAGCGUGGGGAUCGAACAGGAUUAGAUACCCCAGUAGUC
This 460-nucleotide ribosomal RNA is filed under the name uncultured bacterium. RNAcentral describes it as "partial 16S ribosomal RNA". It matches the Rfam family "Bacterial small subunit ribosomal RNA", at positions 338 to 795 of the family's 1533-position model. The record is from RNAcentral.